This 375-nucleotide ribosomal RNA is filed under the name uncultured bacterium. RNAcentral describes it as "bacterial SSU rRNA". It matches the Rfam family "Bacterial small subunit ribosomal RNA", at positions 524 to 898 of the family's 1533-position model. The record is from RNAcentral.
UACGUAGGGUGCGAGCGUUAAUCGGAAUUACUGGGCGUAAAGCGUGCGUAGGCGGUUCUCCAAGUCCGUUGUGAAAUCCCCGGGCUUAACCUGGGAAUGGCAGUGGAAACUAGGGGACUUGAAUUUGGCAGAGGGGGGUGGAAUUCCACGUGUAGCAGUGAAAUGCGUAGAGAUGUGGAGGAACACCGAUGGCGAAGGCAGCCCCCUGGGCUGAGAUUGACGCUGAGUGCACGAAAGCGUGGGGAGCAAACAGGAUUAGAUACCCUGGUAGUCCACGCCCUAAACGAUGUCAACUAGGUGUUGGGGAAGCGAUUUCUCAGUACCGCAGCUAACGCGUGAAGUUGACCGCCUGGGGAGUACGGUCGCAAGAUUAAA